UGGGAUGGGAUCUUUGGGAUCCACAGCAGGAGUUUCCCUCCCUCUCUGGCACUCCUGGCUGCUCCUGGGCAGGUGUGGAGCAGGAGUGAGGUCACCCAGGAACCUGAGGUCACCCAGGAAUGUGAGCCCAGAGCCCUCUCCAGCCUCACCAGGGCGCUGGGAAUUCGGGAGUUGCUUUUUCAGGGAGGCAAAAGAAAUAUUUCCCUUCUCCUUUAUUUUUUUUUUCCCACUCGUGGUUGAUUUCCAUCUGGAAUUAACUCCACUCACCUGUACCUGGGGUGUUAUGGGAGACCUCAAGGCUUUAACCCUUCCCUCUCCAAGCAGAGAUGAUGGAUCCCCAAAUCCUGCCCAGUCCUGGGCUCCAGGCAGCCCCUGUGCCUUCCUCCCCUCCCUCUGCUCCAGAGCAAAUCCCAAAGAAAAUCCCUCCUGGAAAGAUGAACCCAGAGCCAAACACCCUGCCAAGGUCUGACCCUCUCCAGCCCAGGAAAUUCCCUGGCUACUUUUGGAGCUGGCCCGAGGCUGAGCAGGUUGGAAGGCAUUUAAAAUCCCAUUUAUUGCAAUAUUCAGGGAGAAAAGGUUUGGGUAUUACACCCAGAGGUCCUCCACAGCAUCUCCCAGCAGCCUGAGGAGGUUUUAUUUUGAUAUCUAUUACACUGUGGUGUUAAAUACCUGAUAUUAAGAGGUAUUUAUUGAAAUAAUUAUUAUUGUUGUUACUAUUAAUAUCAUAAUAAUUAUUAUUUUAUAUAUUUUUUUUUAAUUUUUAUUUUAAAAAAUACUGGGGUUUUUGGCCCAGUCUCUCAUUCCAGAGGUGGGGAUGCAGAUCUCGGGAUUUCUUUCCCUGUCCCGAUCUGCAGGCGACAGUGCCCUCUAGUGCCCCCCACCCCUGCCCAGCCCCUGGCACAGGAACCUCUCGAAUCCCCAAAUUUUUUAGGGCUUCUGGCUGUGAUUCCAUCCCAAUUCAUCAUUCAGGCGGUGCCUGGGGAUGUUGAGGCAGUCAAGGUUAUCCCUGCAGGGAAUUUCCAUCUUCCUGUUGUUGACGGGGAUUUUUCCCACUUUNCCAGACAGGCACUGGACAGAAACACGAGGAUUUUCUGCCCGCUGAGCUGCAGCUGCUCUGCUCCAUCCCCAGGGGAGGGAGGCAAGGAGGGGUGCAGAGGCAGGAUGGCUCCAGCAGCAGGACAGGGACAGGCUGGAGUCCAGCUGAUCCUUGCACAACAGCCCCUGGAGUGUGCUGGGAGCCGUGCCCGGCCCUCGCUCGCUCACUUCUAACCCAAUGCUGCCUUCUCACCACAGCCAUGCAAAAGGAGGGUUUUGCUUCACAGUGACCUCAUGAAUGCAAGCCACUGCCAAUUCUCCAUCCAUCUUGGCGUUUAAAACAUCAACACCUCCCUCCCAAAUGGAAAGGGAGUCAGAGGUCCUGUGCUUCCCUGUGCCCUUUGCUCUCGCUCUGUCCUCAGCUGGGGAUUGCC
RNAcentral lists this long non-coding RNA (1469 nucleotides) under Zonotrichia albicollis (white-throated sparrow). Its description in RNAcentral is "lncRNA (ENSZALG00000005324.1)". Lineage: Eukaryota; Metazoa; Chordata; Aves; Passeriformes; Passerellidae. The record is from RNAcentral.